Molecule: RNA transcript, 1091 nt
Organism: Cyanidioschyzon merolae strain 10D
Lineage: Eukaryota; Rhodophyta; Bangiophyceae; Cyanidiales; Cyanidiaceae
Exons: 1
Source: RefSeq, a predicted model, not a curated record
CUCGCCACUACUCUACACUUCUGGUCGCAACGUUUGUCUUUUGAAAGGCGUUUGUUGUCGGUGAUGGCGGUGUUGAGUACUAGAAUUCCCCGUGUGAAAGCCAGGAGGCAGCUUUGUCAGGUUGACGUGCGUUUUCCCAAGGAUCAGGACGCUGCGACUUGGACGAGUAUUCAACGUCUCCUGGUCUAAACGUUGCGCACACGCACACGACGCCUCGCCGAGCUACCUUUCCUAUGCAGCAGCAUCUUCCCUAGAGUUUGCCGGGCUUGGGCUUUAAUCAGGUGCGCUACGGCCUGAACGCCUUCUAAUGCGGAAGAAGCCUACCCAGGGGGCGUACGCCUCUCGCACUGCUACCUCGGCGAGCGCAACUGCCGCUUGCUUUCAGGCUGCAAACUGCCACGGGGUAACGAGGUUGCCUGCCCUCGUCGUGCCCUGCCUUUAUCGUAAGGAUAAUUCGAUAUCACUUCAGCAGCCAAGAACAAAAGGCGCUCAUAGGAACCGGUGGGAAGUCUCUCCAGGCACUACCCGGGUCGACGCGCGCCGACAUUCCCCACGAAAGCAGGGCGCACACACACGUACGCAGCACUGAAGCAGCUGGUUGUCUCGCUCUGGCGUUUGCAACGCUGUGAUGCUCGGUUUUGACGGGUAUCGCUCGACGGAGGCUGUGCAGCAGCCAACUGAACAUGCGCAUCGGGGCUCGUCGCUUGAAAUCAUGUCAAGGUAUGCAAAAGUUUAGUGGACAGCAAGAUCAGCGAGCAUUCCUUCGACCUCGAAAAUAUAUCUAACUUUCUGGAGACCCAUGAGAUUCAUGUCGCUCCCUGGUUUACGAAAACGGACCUCUACCACUGUGUCUACUUGACGACAACGUAUGCUCGCUUUCUUCGCGUUCAUGGCACGCCCCAAACGUUCCGAAUGCUUGGAGGUUCGCGGAGAACUCGGGCAUCACCCUGAUGAUGUCUGCGUCGGUGCCCGGCGCCAGUCGCGCCUUGUCGAGGACGCAGCGCUCCACGUGCAGGCCUGCACGCGGCUCCGCUGGAUCCAUAACGAGGAACGCAUCGAUUUCCGGACAGUAUUCCAGGACUAAGACAUAG